CUGCUAUCUGCACAGCGUAUACGAGGUCAAGGUAUCGAUCUGCGUAAAGGCACGAGCGGUCGUAGUCAGAUGGAAUCCGGCCUACCUGAACUGCAUUGAACUGCAGCUGAGUCUCUAGAGGGGUAGAAUCAGUGUAGCGUGAAUGCGUAGAGAUCUGAGAUACCGUGGCGAAGGCGGCCCCCUGACGAAGACUGACGUCAAGUGCGAAGCGUGGGGAGCAAACAGGAUAGAUACCCUGGUAGUUCACGCCGUAAACGAUGUCGACUUGAAGGUUGUGCCCUUGAGGCGUGGCUUCCGGAAGCUAACGCGUUAAGUCGACCGCCUGGGGAGUACGGCCGCAAGGUUAAAACUCAAAUGAAUUGACGGGGGCCCGCACAAGCGGUGGAGCAUGUGGUUUAAUUCGAUGCAACGCGAAGAACCUUACCUGGCCUUGACAUCCAGAGAACUUAGCAGAGAUGCUUUGGUGCCUUCGGGAACUCUGAGACAGGUGCUGCAUGGCUGUCGUCAGCUCGUGUUGUGAAAUGUUGGGUUAAGUCCCGCAACGAGCGCAACCCUUAUCCUUUGUUGCCAGCGACUCGGUCGGGAACUCAAAGGAGACUGCCGGUGAUAAACCGGAGGAAGGUGGGGAUGACGUCAAGUCAUCAUGGCCCUUACGGCCAGGGCUACACACGUGCUACAAUGGCGCAUACAAAGAGAAGCGACCUCGCGAGAGCAAGCGGACCUCAUAAAGUGCGUCGUAGUCCGGAUUGGAGUCUGCAACUCGACUCCAUGAAGUCGGAAUCGCUAGUAAUCGUAGAUCAGAAUGCUACGGUGAAUACGUUCCCGGGCCUUGUACACACCGCCCGUCACACCAUGGGAGUGGGUUGCAAAAGAAGUAGGUAGCUUAACCUCGGAGGGCGCUU
This 902-nucleotide ribosomal RNA is filed under the name Pantoea sp. RNAcentral describes it as "bacterial SSU rRNA". It matches the Rfam family "Bacterial small subunit ribosomal RNA". The record is from RNAcentral. Lineage: Bacteria; Pseudomonadati; Pseudomonadota; Gammaproteobacteria; Enterobacterales; Erwiniaceae.